This is a ribosomal RNA of 402 nucleotides. It matches the Rfam family "Bacterial small subunit ribosomal RNA", at positions 355 to 774 of the family's 1533-position model.
UGGGGAAUAUUGGGCAAUGGGCGAAAGCCUGACCCAGCAACGCCGCGUGAAGGAUGAAGGUUUUCGGAUUGUAAACUUCUUUGACACGGGAAGAUAAUGACGGUACCGUGAAAACAAGCCACGGCUAACUACGUGCCAGCAGCCGCGGUAAUACGUAGGUGGCGAGCGUUGUCCGGAAUUACUGGGUGUAAAGGGCGUGUAGGCGGGAUUAAAAGUCAGAUGUGAAAUACCGAGGCUUAACUUCGGGGCUGCAUUUGAAACUUUAGUUCUUGAGUGAUGGAGAGGCAAGUGGAAUUCCUAGUGUAGCGGUGGAAUGCGUAGAUAUUAGGAGGAACACCAGUGGCGAAGGCGACUUGCUGGACAUUAACUGACGCUGAGGCGCGAAAGCGUGGGGAGCAAACA